GAGGGUAGGCCCCUCGAAGUCGGCUUGCAGGAGCAGGCUUCAAACCGCCACGAGCUGCAUUGGUCAAGAGCCAUUGUGGUGAACGUCGAUGGAAAAGGCGGAGCAAGACUCCGUCAGGU
Molecule: non-coding RNA, 119 nt
Organism: Bradyrhizobium erythrophlei
Lineage: Bacteria; Pseudomonadati; Pseudomonadota; Alphaproteobacteria; Hyphomicrobiales; Nitrobacteraceae
Source: Rfam